RNAcentral lists this ribosomal RNA (450 nucleotides) under uncultured bacterium. RNAcentral describes it as "partial 16S ribosomal RNA". It matches the Rfam family "Bacterial small subunit ribosomal RNA", at positions 30 to 507 of the family's 1533-position model. The record is from RNAcentral.
AGCGAACGCUGGCGGCAUGCCUAACACAUGCAAGUCGCACGGGGGGCUUUGGGCCCCCAGGGGGGGGAGGGUGAGGGAAGCGGAGGGACCCGUCGGGGGGGGGGGGAAAAACGGGGGAAAACGCGGCCAAUAACGGCAGACCCCCCGGCGGGACAGCCGGGGGCAAAGGCGAAAGCCGGCCGGCGGGGGGCCCGCGGCCGAUUAGCUGGUUGGCGGGGUAGCGGCCCACCAAGGCGCCGGUCGGUAGCUGGUCUGAGAGGGUGAUCAGCCACACCGGGACUGAGACACGGCCCGGACUCCUACGGGAGGCAGCAGUGGGGAAUAUUGGACAAUGGGCGCAAGCCUGAUCCAGCAAUGCCGCGUGGGUGAAGAAGGUCUUCGGAUUGUAAAGCCCUUUCGGCGGGGACGAUGGUGACGGUACCCGCAGAAGAAGCCCCGGCUAACUUCGUG